This is a non-coding RNA of Xyrichtys novacula (pearly razorfish), 416 nucleotides long. Lineage: Eukaryota; Metazoa; Chordata; Actinopteri; Labriformes; Labridae. The record is from the annotation of a GenBank genome assembly.
AGUGGCUUAAGAGAGUCCACAAGAGAGCGCAGAGAAGCCUGGGUGAGAGAGAGCGAGAGAGAGAGAGAGAGGGGGGAGGGGGGGUGGGGGUGGCAAUGAGCAAAAAAGGUGAAUAUGAAGAUAUAUUCUGCCUGCGUGCUUGAUACUAUUUGAGCCCACGCGUGUUUUCCAGAGCGCUUCCUGCCGUGGAUAAAGAGAAGAUAAGGCACAGUCAAAGUGAACAGGACAAGCGGCCGGCUGCUUCACUCUGCUUCACUCUGCUGGUCUCAGUCCUCAGUGGAGGGGCGCUGUUCUUUCAGCACCACGAGCCCCGUGCGCACACAGUGGACAGGCUGGAAAACCUACAGUAGCACGCGCACGUGCGCCCGCACACACACGUACAGCUGAGAGAGGUGACAGUUAAGGUUAAGUUGGUG